GCUCAGCUAGAUCAGUCGGUAGAGCAUGAGACUUUUAAUUUCAGGGUUGUGGGUUCGAGCCCCACGUUGGGUG
This is a non-coding RNA of Chaetura pelagica (chimney swift), 73 nucleotides long. Lineage: Eukaryota; Metazoa; Chordata; Aves; Apodiformes; Apodidae. The record is from Rfam.